Molecule: ribosomal RNA, 108 nt
Filed under: Listeria monocytogenes
Lineage: Bacteria; Bacillati; Bacillota; Bacilli; Caryophanales; Listeriaceae
Description: partial 23S ribosomal RNA
Rfam family: Bacterial large subunit ribosomal RNA
Source: RNAcentral
AGGUUAAGUGAAUAAGGGCGCACGGUGGAUGCCUUGGCACUAGGAGCCGAUGAAGGACGGGACUAACACCGAUAUGCUUUGGGGAGCUGUAAGUAAGCUAUGAUCCAG